GCGCAUGGAGAUCAAACUGACAUGGGAAUUGCUAGCAAUUACUAACAAUUCCCUUCCCUCUACAAUAGUAUUACAGUAAUGGCUAUAUUAAAUAAAAUAAUACUAUAUUAAAGAUGCUGACUUUCUACGGAGUUGACUGCGCCGUACCUGUCUCACUUAUUUUAACAAGCAAAUUACUUUUAAAGACAAAUUUCCCUUGAAAGGUCGACCAGAAACCGGAACUAGGACAUCAUUUAUAUUCAAAACAACGCAAUCAUAUUCAGCCAACUAACGCCUCGCAGUAUCAGAUGGGAUUAUUAAACACCCCCCACAGCUGCAAGCAGCAUUUUGAGUCAAGCGAGUUUACAUCAGAAACUGCUACACGAACAACUGCGUGAUUCAAGCACAGUCUCCCUAGAGAUAUCAUACUAAAGCUAUUACGGAACGUAGGCGUUAGAACAGGGGAGGUCAUAACGUCAGAAACUCAGGGCAUUAUGAAAUACGACGCACAAAUCCCAACUUUCUUAUCUGUCAUCGUUACAUUUCUUUGUAAUAAAUAAAGUCAUAUAAAUGUGAAAGUAAAUAUGUGUAAACUAUAUGUACAUUAUUUAUUGCAUAUGUACAUUAUGUUGUUUAAUGGAUCAAACUGAAAUGAUAAAAU
Achroia grisella is the source of this 640-nucleotide long non-coding RNA. RefSeq lists it as uncharacterized. NCBI's taxonomy places the organism in Eukaryota, Metazoa, Arthropoda, Insecta, Lepidoptera, Pyralidae. The record is from RefSeq and is a predicted model, not a curated record. The transcript has 4 exons.